CCCUUAGACGUUCUGGGCCGCACGCGCGCUACACUGACGGAGCCAGCGAGUAUAAACCUUGGCCGAGAGGUCUGGGAAAUCUUGUGAAACUCCGUCGUGCUGGGGAUAGAGCAUUGUAAUUAUUGCUCUUCAACGAGGAAUUCCUAGUAAGCGCAAGUCAUCAGCUUGCGUUGAUUACGUCCCUGCCCUUUGUACACACCGCCCGUCGCUACUACCGAUUGAAUGGCUUAGUGAGGCUUCCAGAUUGGUUUAGAGAAGGGGGCAACUCCAUCUUGGAACCGAGAAGCUAGUCAAACUUGGUCAUUUAGAGGAAGUAAAAGUCGUAACA
Molecule: ribosomal RNA, 328 nt
Filed under: uncultured eukaryote
Lineage: Eukaryota
Description: partial 18S ribosomal RNA
Rfam family: Eukaryotic small subunit ribosomal RNA
Source: RNAcentral